GCAAGUCGAACGAGAUUCUAAUCUUCGGAUUUAAUGAAAGUGGCGCACGGGUGCGUAAAGCGUAUGCAACCUACCUUUUACUGAGGGAUACCCCGAUAAAUUCGGAUUAAUACCUCAUAUUAUCACCAGAUUUCAUCUGUAUGUGAUUAAAGAUUUAUCGGUAAGAGAUGGGCAUGCGUGACAUUAGAUAGUUGGUGAGGUAAUGGCUCACCAAGUCUACGAUGUCUAGGGGUUCUGAGAGGAUGAUC
This 248-nucleotide ribosomal RNA is filed under the name uncultured bacterium. RNAcentral's name for it is "partial 16S ribosomal RNA". It matches the Rfam family "Bacterial small subunit ribosomal RNA", at positions 57 to 305 of the family's 1533-position model. The record is from RNAcentral.